This 170-nucleotide unclassified non-coding RNA is filed under the name uncultured Marinilabiliaceae bacterium. RNAcentral describes it as "16S-23S ribosomal RNA intergenic spacer". Lineage: Bacteria; Pseudomonadati; Bacteroidota; Bacteroidia; Marinilabiliales; Marinilabiliaceae. The record is from RNAcentral.
GGAGCAGACAAAUAUUCUCACUUUCUCUUUACUGUUUUUUAUACUUUUUCUAUGUAUGCCUGGUGGCAGAAAAGGAGUUCAAUUCUCUUUAUACUUUCCAUAAAAAGUUCUUUGACAUGUUGUAAUAUCAGAAUCAAAUUUAAGAAGAAUGAAUAUAGUAAUAUAUUCGA